This 390-nucleotide ribosomal RNA is filed under the name uncultured bacterium. RNAcentral describes it as "bacterial SSU rRNA". It matches the Rfam family "Bacterial small subunit ribosomal RNA", at positions 28 to 416 of the family's 1533-position model. The record is from RNAcentral.
AUUGAACGCUGGCGGCAUGCUUUACACAUGCAAGUCGAGCGGCAGCGCGGGGGGCAACCCUGGCGGCGAGCGGCGAACGGGUGAGGAAUACAUCGGAACGUACCCCGGAGUGGGGGGAUAACGCCGCGAAAGCGGCGCUAAUACCGCAUAUGCUCUGAGGAGGAAAGUGGGGGACCUGCAAGGGCCUCACGCUCUGGGAGCGGCCGAUGUCCGAUUAGCUAGUUGGUGGGGUAAAGGCCCACCAAGGCGACGAUCGGUAGCUGGUCUGAGAGGAUGAUCAGCCACACUGGGACUGAGACACGGCCCAGACUCCUACGGGAGGCAGCAGUGGGGAAUUUUGGACAAUGGGGGCAACCCUGAUCCAGCCAUGCCGCGUGCGGGAAGAAGGCC